RNAcentral lists this ribosomal RNA (459 nucleotides) under uncultured bacterium. RNAcentral describes it as "partial 16S ribosomal RNA". It matches the Rfam family "Bacterial small subunit ribosomal RNA", at positions 338 to 795 of the family's 1533-position model. The record is from RNAcentral.
CCUACGUGAUGCUGCAGUGAGGAAUAUUGGUCAAUGGGCGGGAGCCUGAACCAGCCAAGCCGCGUGAGGGAAGAAGGUACAGCGUAUCGUAAACCUCUUUUGUCAGGGAACAAAGGCGGGGACUAGUCCCCGGAUGAGGGUACCUGAAGAAAAAGCAUCGGCUAACUCCGUUCCAGCAGCCGCGCUAAUACGGAGGAUGCGAUCGUUAUCCGGAUUUAUUGGGGUUAAAGGAUGCGCAGGCGGCAUGUUACGUCAGCGGUAAAAGCCCGGGGCUCAACCCCGGCGCGACGUUGAAACUGGCUGGCUGGAGUUGGAGAGAAGUACGCAGAAUGCGCGGUGUAGCGGUAAAAUGCUUAGAUAUCGCGCAGAACCCCGAUUGCGAAGGCAGCGUACCGGCUCCACACUGACGCUGAGGCACGAAAGCGUGGGUAUCGAACAGGAUUAGAUACCCGUGUAGUC